Molecule: ribosomal RNA, 301 nt
Filed under: uncultured bacterium
Lineage: Bacteria
Description: partial 16S ribosomal RNA
Rfam family: Bacterial small subunit ribosomal RNA
Source: RNAcentral
CAGUCGCCGCGGUAAAACGGAGGGUGCAAGCGUUAAUCGGAAUUACUGGGCGUAAAGCGCACGCAGGCGGUUUGUUAAGUCAGAUGUGAAAUCCCCGAGCUUAACUUGGGAACUGCAUUUGAAACUGGCAAGCUAGAGUCUUGUAGAGGGGGGUAGAAUUCCAGGUGUAGCGGUGAAAUGCGUAGAGAUCUGGAGGAAUACCGGUGGCGAAGGCGGCCCCCUGGACAAAGACUGACGCUCAGGUGCGAAAGCGUGGGGAGCAAACAGGAUUAGAUACCCGGGUAGUCCCUGUCUCUUAUAC